RNAcentral lists this ribosomal RNA (491 nucleotides) under uncultured bacterium. Its description in RNAcentral is "partial 16S ribosomal RNA". It matches the Rfam family "Bacterial small subunit ribosomal RNA", at positions 29 to 506 of the family's 1533-position model. The record is from RNAcentral.
AGUGAACGCUGGCGGUAGGCCUAACACAUGCAAGUCGAACGGCAGCACAGUAAGAGCUUGCUCUUACGGGUGGCGAGUGGCGGACGGGUGAGGAAUACAUCGGAAUCUACUUUUUCGUGGGGGAUAACGUUGGGAAACUUACGCUAAUACCGCAUACGACCUACGGGUGAAAGCAGGGGAUCUUCGGACCUUGCGCGAUUGAAUGAGCCGAUGUCGGAUUAGCUAGUUGGCGGGGUAAAGGCCCACCAAGGCGACGAUCCGUAGCUGGCCUGAGAGGAUGAUCAGCCACACUGGAACUGAGACACGGUCCAGACUCCUACGGGAGGCAGCAGUGGGGAAUAUUGGACAAUGGGCGCAAGCCUGAUCCAGCCAUACCGCGUGGGUGAAGAAGGCCUUCGGGUUGUAAAGCCCUUUUGUUGGGAAAGAAAAGCAGCAGGUUAAUACCCCGCUGUCCUGACGGUACCCAAAGAAUAAGCACCGGCUAACUUCGU